Molecule: long non-coding RNA, 3076 nt
Organism: Carassius gibelio (silver crucian carp)
Lineage: Eukaryota; Metazoa; Chordata; Actinopteri; Cypriniformes; Cyprinidae
Exons: 2
Source: RefSeq, a predicted model, not a curated record
AACCCAGCUGAUUUUUCUCAAAAUAAAAAUCAUUAAUGAACAGGCAAACUUUGAGAUUAGAUAAGAGAUUAGGUACAAACUUGGUAAAAUGCACAGACAAUGUUUGAGUUUAAAUCCUUCCGAUUUAAUACCAAAAGGAAAACCUUAAAUAUGAGCUGUUAAAAUAUAAAUGUGUUAAGUAUGUGCAUGCAUGAGGAUGGCUAUAUAUAUAUUAUUGGGGGACAAUUCUGUUCCUGUUUUGUUUCAAUUGAGUCACUAACCUCUGGAAUGAGUGUUUUAUCAUUACAGAUGUGUUAAGUGAAAUUACUUUACAGAAGUCGAUAAUUCUGAGUAAAACUAAUGAAAAGACAAUGCCAAACAUGGGACGAGCUUUAAGAGGAUUGGUUAUCCAGCUCUGUCUGCUACUGGUAAUAAUGACUUGUUUUGUCUUUUAUAACACUGAUUUAAAUCACUCUCUGGAUUAAUAUGUUAAAGAGUGUUUAUAUGAUUGGAUUUGUGAAAUUUAAGUUUGCCGUCCAAAAUGGGUUUAAAAUCCAUGCCUAAAUUUAAAUGAGGGUCUAAAUUUUAACAAGUUAACACUUUGUUGUUUGAAUGGUGAAGGUAAAUAUUUUAGACUUGAUGGCAGAAAAACAGUGACAGAUUGGCUACGUCACUAACCAAAUUAUCCAGAGAGCACCCUCACAUAAAGAAGCCUGGUGGGAAAACAAAGCAGUGAAUCCUGCUUGUGUAAUAUAGUGCAAAAGCUUUAUGUAGUGGUUUAUGUAGAACAGAGAUAAGUUGAACAAAAACGUGUGGAUAGCCCCUUAAUGGAGCAAAUCCAUGACAAGAGGUUUGAAUUAAUUGAAAUAGCACAGCAAAAAAAAUAAUAAUAAUAAAUUUUGUUUGAACAAAACAAUUGUAAUAUGCUCUAUGGAGCUGCUUAUGAACACCUGUCAGGGCUUUUUGAUAAUGUAUACUGUUUCAAUACAGAUUUACAGAAACUGAGGAUGUCUCUUUAAUAAAUAUUUGGGCGUUUAGAACUAAGUAAUAGUAUUGUUCAUUUAGUAAUAGUAUUGGGAAAUCUGUGUGCUCUUUUUUUUAGUUUAUAAUAAUUUUGAGUAAAUUAAUAUCACUGCCAAAUGACAAACAUGAACGAGGGAUUUUAAGACAUUGAUCAAGUAGCUGACCUGUAAGCAUUUAUCACUGACAAAACAGUGAGAACUAAAUUGACUUUAUACUAAGUAUUGAGGAUUUGCUUCUGAAUGUGUCGCUAAUAUAGUCUGAGUACAGUAAUAUGGUAUGAUAAUUGACAAGAUUUGCAUUUAAAAAAAAGGUAAUAAUAAGGCAAUGAGUAUGGUUAACAGUAAUGUCAUGGUAUAAAAUAAAUACAUGCAUGACAAUAAGUGGAUCGGUUAGUUGUAUUUUAAAAGUUAGACACUUCGAUACUUAAAAUGUAAUUUUAACCAAAUGUGUUAACAAUGACAAGGUUUAUGGUUCAUGUAUGUGUAAACAGCAUGUUAACUAUGAUGACUGCAAAUGGAUUUGCGGUGAAAGUAAAGCUUAAUAAAAGGGCUAUUAAGUAAUAAACUAGGAACUGCUCUAGGUUUUCGAGGAAAUAAUGAUUAUGAUUAUUUUUAUUUUUAAAGAUGGCUCAAUAUUGAUCUUACUUAUUUUUGGUUUGUUUAUUUUUGUGUUUUUAACACCAAGUUUGGAAUGAAAGGGUAAAAUGGAUAUUCAAUCUCUAUAAUUGUACCAUUGAUCGGGAAAAUGAUAGAUUUUCAUAAAAUAAGGGUAUCUCUACUGGGAUUUAGGUUAUAAGCAAUGUCUGUAUUUGGUAUCUGUGAGGUGACUGAGGGUCUGACAUAUGUCAGGAAUGCAAUAACAGUGGUUAUUCAUUUAGCCCGGCUUCCAGAGAAUAAUAUAUAUACGUUUAUUGUAAUGAGUUUAUUUUACUAUAUGACCAAAUUAACUAAAAUUCAUCAUAGUUGUAUAAGAUAUGUUAAAAGAAAACAAAUAAGACAAAUAUCCUUCUUAUGGGUUAUUUUUUUUUUUUUUUUUUUUUUGAAUUGGUUAUAGUGUAUGCGUUUUUCUUUAAUGAUUUGUUAAAUCUGGUUAAUGAAUAUGCAAAUUUAGUCUUAAGGCUGUUGGAUAAAUGUUUGGUUUUAGAGGGUAAGUGUGAAGUAGCUGUAGUAGGAAGAGAGGUAUUUACAAAGAUAUGUUGAUGAAAGUGAGGACACUUUUCCAGGUAGAGGGACACACAGAAUGAUUCACUGGAAAAGACAUUAUGUGAAGAAAGACUAGUGCAAGUGCCGAUAUUGUGGGAUUAAGUAAGUAGAUUAAUGUAUAUGGGAAAUAAGAAUGUAUAUGGGAAGUAUUUUGUACAAAAUAAUGUGUUUAUUACUAGAAAUGUCAGCCAGUACCAGAGAUUUUAAGUAUGCACAUGUUUAAGUUGACCAACAGUCUGCAUUCUUACCAUGCAUCACAACUACACCUGACCUCAUUUAUUAGACCAGAUGUGGGGUAUUAGACCCCACAUUGAUCUAAAACGGGGGACUGAAGGAGUGGAUGCCGAUUUGCCAUAUCCUUCAUACUGAUAUUAAUUAUUUUAUUACAUGAUUUCUUGUUUGACUAUUAAUCAAGUUAUAGCAAGAGUGAAAUGUGUAACCUUAUGUGUGCUGUAUUUCUUCUCCUCAAGAUUAAUGUCCACAUAUUAUGUGUGUGUAUCCAACCGUAAUGAUAAGACACUCGCCAGUGCUAGAAAGCCUUGAAUUUUAGAUAAGUUCUCUGUGUACGUGUGUUAGUAUCUGUCUGUACAGGGAGAAGCUCAGACAGUCCCAGGACAAACGAUCAACUGCCAGUGUCCAGCAUAUCAGAUAUACGUCUUUGGAGAGUUUUAUCUAGGUUUUGGAACCAAUCAGAAUUUUGUUGACUCAUGUAUUGACGCAAUUAGUAUCCUCUGUCAGGGUAUAACUGUGGUUGAUUUUGUAUUGUACUGGGGGCGGCCUGUGAACUCCUUCGAGAGUGUUGAAGCUGACUUCUGCUGAUGAAAUUGCAAACUAUUUUCUUCAAGUAAAAUUAUUAUUAUUAAUUGAACUCA